GACGAACGCUGGCGGCGUGCUUAACACAUGCAAGUCGAACGGAAAGGCCUGCUUUCCCUUGUGGAUUGCGGGUGCUCGCGUGGCGAACGGGUGAGUAACACGUGAGUGAUCUGCCCCCAACUUGGGUAUAAGCCUGGGAAACUGGGUCUAAUUCCCGAUAGGACUGCAGGGUGGUGCCUGUGGUGGAAAACGAUUUUCUAGUGGUUGGGGAUGAGCUCGCGGCCUAUCAGCUUGUUGGUGGGGUAAUGGCCUACCAAGGCGGCGACGGGUAGCCGGCCUGAGAGGGUGGACGGCCACAUUGGGACUGAGAUACGGCCCAGACUCCUACGGGAGGCAGCAGUGGGGAAUAUGACACAAUGGGCGGAAGCCUGAUGCAGCGACGCCGCGUGGGGGAUGACGGCCUUCGGGUUGUAAACUCCUUUCGACCGCGAGGAAGCCACCUGGUUGGAAGGGUGGUGACGGUAGUGGUAGAAGAAGCACCGGCUAACUACGUG
Molecule: ribosomal RNA, 494 nt
Filed under: uncultured bacterium
Lineage: Bacteria
Description: partial 16S ribosomal RNA
Rfam family: Bacterial small subunit ribosomal RNA
Source: RNAcentral